UUGAUCCUGGCUCAGAAUGAACGCUGGCGGUAUGCCUAACACAUGCAAGUCGAACGGGCCGCCUAAUUAGCUUGCUCUUAUGGGUGGCUAGUGGCGGACGGGUGAGGAAGGGUGAGUAAUCUACUCUGUCCCGGGGGAUAACGUAGGGAAACUUACUCUAAUACCGCGUACAACCUACGGGUGAAAACAGGUGAUCUUCUUACCUUGCGCGAUUGAAUGAACCGAUGUCCUAUUAGAUGGUUGGCGGGGUAAAGGCCCACCUGGGCGACUAUCCGCUUCUGGUCUGAGAGGAUGAUCAGCCACUCUGGAACUGAAUCACGGUCCAUACUCCUACGGGAGGCACCAAUGGGGAAUAUUGGACAAUGGGCGCAAACCUGAUCCAUGGAACCGCGUGGGAUAAAAAGGCCUUCGGUUUGUAAAGACCGUUUGUUGAUAAAGGAAUCCUGUUGGCUAUCACCAAGUUUGGGGAUAUCGUACCCCAAGUAUAGCACCGGCUAUAUCUUCGAGCCCGCAGUAUAAUAGCAGGGUGCAGUCGUACUCGGAUACGUGAGCGUAAGCUGCUAGUGGUGUUAAGUCCGUAGCCAUCGAAACCAUGGCUCAGACUGAAGAUCUGCAGUGGAUACUGAGGCGACUCAAGUCUGUGGUAGAGGUUGAUUUCUGUGUAGAGUGAACUGUAGUAGAUCAGAGAACAUCAUGGGAAUGUAGGCGACUACCUGUGACCAACACUGACCUGAGCAGUAACCGUAUGGCUACGCAAUCAAUCAAUACCUCGAAUCAGCCCUAGAUAUGCUGAACUGGUAUGUGUCAUUGCACGAGUACGAAGUCUCCCGUCUAAUCGCCGCUGAUGGGUACGUCGCCGAUGUAGCUAGAGAGGGCGGCCGACAAGUGAGUAUGUGUUAAUUGAUGCACUGGAAGUAACUUUGCCUGGACAUGCACUUUCAUGAAUGGAAUUGGUGCACUUAGAAAUUGGACCAUCAGGUGCUGCAUGGCUGUCGUCAGGUGUUGUCGUGAGAUGUUGUAAGAAGUCCCGCAAGGACAACCACCCUUGUCAGUAGUUGCCAGCAAGUAAUGGUGGGAAAUGUAAGGAGACGUGACGGUGACAAACCGGAGGAAGGUGGGGACAAGUCAAGUCAUCAUGGCCCUUACGGCCGGGGCUACACACGUAAUACAAUGGUAGGGACAGAGGGAAGCAAGCCGGCAACGGUAAGUCAAUCCCAGAAACCAUAUUUCAGUCCGGAUUGGAAUCUGCAACUCGAGUCCAUGAAGUCGGAAUUGAUAGUAAAUGCACAUCAGC
Molecule: ribosomal RNA, 1294 nt
Filed under: uncultured Stenotrophomonas sp.
Lineage: Bacteria; Pseudomonadati; Pseudomonadota; Gammaproteobacteria; Lysobacterales; Lysobacteraceae
Description: bacterial SSU rRNA
Rfam family: Bacterial small subunit ribosomal RNA
Source: RNAcentral